This 390-nucleotide ribosomal RNA is filed under the name Triticum aestivum (bread wheat). RNAcentral describes it as "partial small subunit ribosomal RNA". Lineage: Eukaryota; Viridiplantae; Streptophyta; Magnoliopsida; Poales; Poaceae. The record is from RNAcentral.
AUGAAGUUCACAUAUGUGUUGGCUGGCUGGGAAGGAUCAGCACAUGAUGCUAACAUUCUCAGUUACGGCAUGAGUUGUCAUGAUGGCAUCAACAUCCCUGAUGGCAAGUUCUACCUUGGAGAUGCUGGCUAUGCAUGUCGGUUAGGUGUUCUUCCACCCUUCAGGAAAACCAAGUACCAUCUGAACGAGUUUGCUGUUAGGAACUAUCCUAGGAUUCCUCAGGAAUGGUUCAAUCUCAGACACUCCAGCCUUAGAGUCAUUGUUGAGAGGGCCUUUGGAGCUCUGAAGAACAGGUUUAAGAUCCUAGAUCAGAAGCCAUUCCACCCUUAUCCGACCCAGGUGAAGCUUGUUCUUGCCUAUUGCAUCAUUCACAACUGGAUCCUGCAAUAG